RNAcentral lists this long non-coding RNA (277 nucleotides) under Daucus carota (carrot). Its description in RNAcentral is "long non-coding RNA (DCAR_LNC003610)". The record is from RNAcentral. Lineage: Eukaryota; Viridiplantae; Streptophyta; Magnoliopsida; Apiales; Apiaceae.
AGAAAAGAACAAAUUCCCGAGCCAACCGGAGCCGAACCCAAAAUUCCCACUUAAUCAAAGACCCCCGGAUAAUGUGCAUUCGGUCAUUUCUCUUAGGUCGGGUAAACAAGUAGAGACCCACGUUGGUGAGAACCUUGGUAAGAAAGGGGAUUCGACUUCUAAUCCAAGUCCACCCUUCACUACCAUUAAUCAUGACAAACCCGAGAGUUCAAAAGCCCGUGAGGAGUCGAGUGACCCAAACCCGGAACCCGAGUUGCAAAGUGAAGUAGUCUAUAAA